CUGGGCCCCAAACAUCUGUGUGGACUAACUCAAGCUUUACUUGCUUCAGAGUUCUACCACUUGUGUUGAAACUCACCCUCUUCUGGUAGUUUCCCUUUCGAAUGCAUAUACUUGAGCCCUUUCUGGCUCAUGUGCCCAAGUCUUUGGUGCCACAAAUUUGCAUUCUUCUUGCUAUCAGCAACUGCAAUUGUCACACACGCAUUCAUCGCUG
Molecule: long non-coding RNA, 211 nt
Filed under: Salvia miltiorrhiza (redroot sage)
Lineage: Eukaryota; Viridiplantae; Streptophyta; Magnoliopsida; Lamiales; Lamiaceae
Description: long non-coding RNA (SMIL_LNC013912)
Source: RNAcentral